Molecule: ribosomal RNA, 486 nt
Filed under: uncultured Glomeromycotina
Lineage: Eukaryota; Fungi; Glomeromycota
Description: SSU rRNA
Rfam family: Eukaryotic small subunit ribosomal RNA
Source: RNAcentral
CCAAUAGCGUAUAUUAAAGUUGUUGCAGUUAAAAAGCUCGUAGUUGAAUUUCGGGAUUAGUACGUUGGUCGUGCCUUAGGUACGUACUGGUGUUACUGGUUCCUACCUUCUGACGAACCAUCAUGUCAUUAAUUUGGUGUGGCGGGGAAUCAGGACUGUUACUUUGAAAAAAUUAGAGUGUUUAAAGCAGGCUCGCGCUUGAAUACAUUAGCAUGGAAUAAUGAAAUAGGACGUUNGAUCCUAUUUUGUUGGUUUCUAGGAUUGACGUAAUGAUUAAUAGGGAUAGUUGGGGGCAUUAGUAUUCAAUUGUCAGAGGUGAAAUUCUUGGAUUUAUUGAAGACUAACUACUGCGAAAGCAUUUGCCAAGGAUGUUUUCAUUAAUCAAGAACGAAAGUUAGGGGAUCGAAGACGAUCAGAUACCGUCGUAGUCUUAACCAUAAACUAUGCCGACUAGGGAUCGGAUGAUGUUAAUUUUUUAAUGACUCA